GGGGAAUAUUGUGCAAUGGGGGAAACCCUGACACAGCGACGCCGCGUGAGCGAAGAAGGCCUUCGGUCGUAAAGCUCAAUAGUAUGGGAAGAUAAUGACGGUACCAUACGAAAGCCCCGGCUAACUACGUGCCAGCAGCCGCGGUAAUACGUAGGGGGCGAGCGUUGUCCGGAAUUACUGGGCGUAAAGAGCACGUAGGCGGCUGUAAAAGUCAGAUGUGAAAAACCUGGGCUCAACCGAGGGUAUGCAUCUGAAACUAAAUAGCUUGAGUCAAGGAGAGGAGAGCGGAAUUCCUGGUGUAGCGGUGAAAUGCGUAGAGAUCAGGAAGAAUACCAGUGGCGAAAGCGGCUCUCUGGACUUGAACUGACGCUGAGGUGCGAAAGCGUGGGGAGCAAAC
Molecule: ribosomal RNA, 397 nt
Filed under: uncultured bacterium
Lineage: Bacteria
Description: bacterial SSU rRNA
Rfam family: Bacterial small subunit ribosomal RNA
Source: RNAcentral